GAUGAACGCUGGCGGCGUGCCUAAUACAUGCAAGUCGAGCGAACGGACGAGAAGCUUGCUUCUCUGAUGUUAGCGGCGGACGGGUGAGUAACACGUGGAUAACCUACCUAUAAGACUGGGAUAACUUCGGGAAACCGGAGCUAAUACCGGAUAAUAUUUUGAACCGCAUGGUUCAAAAGUGAAAGACGGUCUUGCUGUCACUUAUAGAUGGAUCCGCGCUGCAUUAGCUAGUUGGUAAGGUAACGGCUUACCAAGGCAACGAUGCAUAGCCGACCUGAGAGGGUGAUCGGCCACACUGGAACUGAGACACGGUCCAGACUCCUACGGGAGGCAGCAGUAGGGAAUCUUCCGCAAUGGGCGAAAGCCUGACGGAGCAACGCCGCGUGAGUGAUGAAGGUCUUCGGAUCGUAAAACUCUGUUAUUAGGGAAGAACAGAUGUGUAAGUAACUGUGCACAGCGUGACGGUACCUAAUCAGAAAGCCACGGCUAACUACGUG
This 497-nucleotide ribosomal RNA is filed under the name uncultured bacterium. RNAcentral's name for it is "partial 16S ribosomal RNA". It matches the Rfam family "Bacterial small subunit ribosomal RNA", at positions 28 to 507 of the family's 1533-position model. The record is from RNAcentral.